Long non-coding RNA from Chionomys nivalis (European snow vole), 827 nucleotides. RefSeq lists it as uncharacterized. The record is from RefSeq and is a predicted model, not a curated record. Lineage: Eukaryota; Metazoa; Chordata; Mammalia; Rodentia; Cricetidae. The transcript has 4 exons.
CCUUGCUUCCCACGGGGAGUGUGUGUUUUCCACAGAAAGACCAACAAAUGAAGUUGCACUCUGGAGAGGGGCUUUGCAGUCGGGUCUGGUUCUAAUCGCCAAGCAGUUCCUCGUGGUGGGGAAGCCAUGGAAGCAGGAGAUUGAAGCCGCUGGUUACAUUGCAUCCGCGGCUGGGAAGCAGAGAGAUGGACGCUGGUCCUCAGCUCACUUUCACUGAUUUAUUCAUUCUGAGACUCCAGCCCAUGGAACGGGACUGUCUGUAGUUAGAAUGGAUCCUCUCGUCUCACCCCAGGGUGGAAACCCUUCACAGCCAUGCUCGAGACUUAGCUCCUGGAUCCUGAUAGGUUGAUGGAUCCUGACAGGCUGACAGGUGACUGCAGUGAUGGGGCUAACUCCAGGUCACGAUGCUUUGUCACAUCUGGGGACACUUUUUUCAGAUUCUGCAAUACUCUGAGAUUUUCAGACCAACCUGUCGUCCCUUUCCACUGUGGGUUUCAGGAAUUGAGCUCAGGUUGCCAGGCUUGUGUGGCAAGUGCUUUUACCACAGAGUCCUCUUGUGACCCUAGCAUGCCUUUUAUGAUGGGAAGACUGACAGCUGAGGACGUUCUCUGAUGUCUUUACCGAGGAGCCACGCGAGAUCUCUGUUUUGGACUGGAAUCCUGCCUCUGCUCUUCAUUGCUUCGUGUGGAGGGGAGCAGAGAAGUGAGAGGGGCCAAGCCGAGUGGGGUCUGUGCAAUAUUAUAACUAAUGUUAAAAUCAACCAUCUGUUCUUGCUCCUUCAUCUAAUUCUUCCUGAAAGAAAAUGUCCGAAAAUAAAAUGGAUUUGA